CCUACGGAGGCAGCAGUGGGGAAUAUUGGACAAUGGGCGAAAGCCUGAUCCAGCCAUGCCGCGUGCAGGAUGAAGGCCCUCGGGUUGUAAACUGCUUUUGUACGGAACGAAAAGCCUCUUUCUAGUAAAGAGGGGUGAUGACGGUACCGUAAGAAUAAGCACCGGCUAACUACGUGCCAGCAGCCGCGGUAAUA
This 194-nucleotide ribosomal RNA is filed under the name uncultured Comamonas sp. RNAcentral describes it as "partial 16S ribosomal RNA". It matches the Rfam family "Bacterial small subunit ribosomal RNA", at positions 338 to 525 of the family's 1533-position model. The record is from RNAcentral. Lineage: Bacteria; Pseudomonadati; Pseudomonadota; Betaproteobacteria; Burkholderiales; Comamonadaceae.